UACAGAGGUGGCAAGCGUUGUUCGGAAUUACUGGGCGUAAAGGGCGCGUAGGCGGCCUUCUAAGUCAGACGUGAAAUCCCCAGGCUUAACUUGGGAACUGCGUCUGAUACUGGGAGGCUUGAGUGCAGAAGGGGCAACUGGAAUUCUCGGUGUAGCGGUGAAAUGCGUAGAUAUCGAGAGGAACACCUGCGGCGAAGGCGGGUUGCUGGGCUGACACUGACGCUGAAGCGCGAAAGCUAGGGGAGCGAACGGG
Molecule: ribosomal RNA, 253 nt
Filed under: uncultured bacterium
Lineage: Bacteria
Description: partial 16S ribosomal RNA
Rfam family: Bacterial small subunit ribosomal RNA
Source: RNAcentral